Molecule: long non-coding RNA, 2122 nt
Filed under: Nicotiana benthamiana
Lineage: Eukaryota; Viridiplantae; Streptophyta; Magnoliopsida; Solanales; Solanaceae
Description: long non-coding RNA (NBEN_LNC035838)
Source: RNAcentral
CACUAGCUAGAAUACUAGUCUUGUUAUAAAUUUCACUAAGAGAUUCAAAUUCCCUUCAGGGUCUUGGGCUUAAGCUAGCCUUUGUACCAACUGCUGUGCGACAGCAUUCUACACUAAUGAGAUAAGGCAACUGGGCUCAAACACAAGCCCAAGCGAGGCUGAAACAAACGAGUGAAUUCAUUAACUCAAUAGAGAGCCCAAUUCACUGUAAAUUUAUUAUUACAUAAGCAUCAAAAUAGACCUACAACUACUAAAAAAACUAAUACAGCUGUAGAUUAUCUAAAAUAUGACAUAUUCAUAUAAUAACCAUUCACUCCUUGUACAGCACACUACUAGUUAAUAUUACAACAGAAAUUUAAUGAACUAACAGGCAUGGUACUUUAAAUGCGAUGCAUUGCUGAUACGUAAUUUCAUACAAUAUCAAAAAUUGAUUCCAAGUUCAACACCCCCAUUACAUUAUUUGGAACCUAUCGAAUCGCAAAUUCAUAGAUUGAAUCAUGACUCCUCAAGGACACAAAUGCCCUGCCUUGCUUGGAUAAUAAGUAUGCACUAGAUAAAUAAGAUAUACAAUUCAGAUUCCAAAGGUAGAUGUGAGUCAAAUAUGAAACCAACUUCAAUCACAUCUAUGUAGAAUAAUAAAUAUAAAAAACAGGAAGCAUAUCUCAAUUCCCAUAUAAACAAGGGGAUAUUAACCCAUAUUACUGACCUCCUCCAACCUAUAUUUAAUAGCCUAAAGGCAAACUCAGACCAACUACACUUAAACCAGUCCAAUUACUGACCUCACAACAAACAAAUAGCAAAACUGGAUAUAGGUUAAGAGACCUAAAACUAAGCUACAUGCUACUCAGGGCUAAGUCUGUGAUUAUAUUGCUCAAGGUUGAGGAGACGGUACAUGGACCUCAUAAAAUAAACAAAACAAGCAAAUACACUAAUAUUAUCAAUCCAAAUGAAAGUGAAGAUGGCUCAAAACUUCAUAUUCCAUUUCCAUAACCAAAUCAAGCUUUCCGUUCAAAGGGAGGGCAUGAAUGUAUACCUGGGAAAGAAAAAAGCAAAAUGAAAGGUAGAGGAUCAACAGAGCAAAGCAAUAUCAGCAGGUUCAAGCAAUAGAAACCAACAGUAGCAACCAGAGAUCAGUCAAAAACCUAACAGAAUUGCAGUAUUCACACAACUUGAACCAUAAACUUUCAGAAAAAAACCAAUAUCAACCCAUACUUAAACUCAAAUCAACCAGAAAGUAUUUCACAGUCUGAAAAUUUUCAGAAAAAUCGGUCUAUAGAUUAAUAUAACAGUAGUGUCUCAAUUUUCUGUUGUUUUAGGAAUUUUUUCUUAUUUCGAGAUCCUCUUCUCUUUUCUCAUCUUCAAGUAAGAAUGCCUUUAUAGGCAAGUUACUAACGCAACUUCAGGUUUUGUUUUUUCCCUUUUAGACCUUUCUACAGUUUUCUUUUGCUAGUUAGUCCUUUAUUUUAUGACUUGCUACCCAAGUUACACUACCUAAAAGCUGAAAUUCAAAUUAACACCCUAACCUAGAAGCUUCUUAUUUCAAUUAUGCAGAGAUUCUCUAAGUGCAUUGCCCUAAGUACCCUUGAAAUUACUGAAAAUUAUUUUGAGAACCAAAUGAACAACAACCGGGCCUCUUUGAAUUGGGUCACAAAUGACUCAAAGGGCCCAAGCUAAUUUGAAAUCAGUCAUUUCUGAUCCAAGCCUUACCAACACCAAUUGACAAAAAACAGGUACUAAAUCUGACCAUUGAAUCAACACUUAAGGAAAUAACAGAUCACUAAUAGCAAAAUUAACAAAAUGGAAACAAGAUUACUGAUGAAUUCAUGCUCUUUAAUUUUACUAACUAGUAAGAUGAAACAAAGUAAAGAAACAAAAAGCACAUUAAGAACCAAAUCAUUCUGAUUCCACAACAAUGAGCCUACCUUUACUACCUAAACGAUUGAACUGAUUUAGCAAAUAAAAUCACAACCCAAAGGGACUCAAAAGUUCAGAUAGUUCAAUUCAAAAAGAAAAGAAAAUGGUCUGGUUCUUUCCAAAAUGCCUUAACCUACUCCGUCUACCCAGAGAAGGGGUGAGGAAGAAAAUGAGCCAGAAAAAAUCAAAAGAGGGGAGGAGAACUUAC